Small nucleolar RNA from Arabidopsis thaliana (thale cress), 150 nucleotides. NCBI's taxonomy places the organism in Eukaryota, Viridiplantae, Streptophyta, Magnoliopsida, Brassicales, Brassicaceae. The record is from RefSeq.
AAUCCAAGUGCCUUUGAGAGAUCAGAGCAGCGAGUUACAAUGCUGUUCUUGUUCCGUUGCGGGCAUAAAUCGAAACCCAUUGAUCUUUUCUUUGCUUCCUCUUGCAAGUAAUCUUCUUUACUGCAAAUCGGAAGAAAAGAUCUCACAUUU